This 646-nucleotide long non-coding RNA is filed under the name Homo sapiens (human). RNAcentral describes it as "HSALNT0148475". Lineage: Eukaryota; Metazoa; Chordata; Mammalia; Primates; Hominidae. The record is from RNAcentral.
GGCGUGAGCCACUGCGCCCAGCCACCCUGCCCCUUCUGAGUUGGGAUGGGAUCUCCCUGAUCUGCUGUAGCUGCCCAAACCACAGCUGCAGAGCCAGGCCUCCUGUUCUAUGGAGCAGGCAGGAGCCAUGCCCUUCUGGGCGGGGCUACAGCCACCCAAACUGCAGCUGUGGAUCCGAGCCUCCCUGUGCUCUUGCGGGAGGCGGGAACAGGCAGGAUCUGCCCUACCUGGUGCAGCUGUAGCCAUUGCACCCGGGGCUGCAGACCUGGGCCUCCUGUUCCAGGAAGCAGGCAUGAGCUGGCGACUAGUGGGAGCCCCGCCCCUUCCAGGCAUUUCCUCCUCUCUGAGAUCCAUAAAAGCCCUGGGCUCAGACAGAGCAGGGCAGAGGACUGCCAGAGGACAAAGAGGGCAGAGAGACAAUAGGAUGGGAGGACCUGCUGCAGUGAGGAGCUACUGUCUCUGCUGAGAACUUCAGAGACUGAGAGACAUCCAAAUGACUUGCCUGCAAAGAGGAGCCACCUGUUCCAGGGCCUCACCUCUGCUGAGAGCUGAACACUCGUCAGGACGACCUGCCUAUAGAGAGGAGCUACUCACUCCUCUGAGCUGUUCCAACACUAAAUAAAACUCUUCUUCUUCACCCUUCACU